CUCCUGAUUGUCCAAACGCAAUUCUUGUCCAGAAAAACAUGCAAACCAAGAAUUGUGUCUGGACAUCGGUGGCUGAGUCU
Laticauda laticaudata (blue-ringed sea krait) is the source of this 80-nucleotide microRNA precursor. Ensembl annotates it as microRNA 219a-2. Its record names the gene MIR219A2. Lineage: Eukaryota; Metazoa; Chordata; Lepidosauria; Squamata; Elapidae. The record is from Ensembl.